AGAAACUUAGGAUAAGAUACUAAACCGAGGGCCUUCAAAGCCCUAAACAAGAGUUAAACCCUCUUAGUUUCUG
Molecule: transfer RNA, 73 nt
Filed under: Hydrophasianus chirurgus (pheasant-tailed jacana)
Lineage: Eukaryota; Metazoa; Chordata; Aves; Charadriiformes; Jacanidae
Description: tRNA-Trp
Rfam family: tRNA
About the family: Transfer RNA (tRNA) molecules are approximately 80 nucleotides in length. Their secondary structure includes four short double-helical elements and three loops (D, anti-codon, and T loops). Further hydrogen bonds mediate the characteristic L-shaped molecular structure. tRNAs have two regions of fundamental functional importance: the anti-codon, which is responsible for specific mRNA codon recognition, and the 3' end, to which the tRNAs corresponding amino acid is attached (by aminoacyl-tRNA synthetases). tRNAs cope with the degeneracy of the genetic code in two manners: having more than one tRNA (with a specific anti-codon) for a particular amino acid; and 'wobble' base-pairing, i.e. permitting non-standard base-pairing at the 3rd anti-codon position.
Source: RNAcentral